RNAcentral lists this long non-coding RNA (623 nucleotides) under Gossypium raimondii (Peruvian cotton). Its description in RNAcentral is "long non-coding RNA (GRAI_LNC000775)". Lineage: Eukaryota; Viridiplantae; Streptophyta; Magnoliopsida; Malvales; Malvaceae. The record is from RNAcentral.
CGAAAAUCCCUAAGUAAUUUCCCCAGAACCCUUCCCCUUUUUCCCCACUUCAUUUCCCCCAGAUCAGACCCCCCCGAAAUCCCUAUUUUUUCCCCAUUUUAUUUUCCCCAAAUCAUUUCUCCCUUACCUUGAAAUCCCUAACAAUUUUCCCAAUUCCCUUUAUUUUUUCCCCAAAUCAACAGUCCUUUGCAUCGCUGUCGGCAACCCUUUGCUGCAUCUCCGUUGGUAGCACUCUACUGCUUCGCCUGCCUUGUAAGUUUAUUUUUUUUUCAUUUUGUUUGAUUGUUAUUUUUUUUAUUGUUAAAUGAGUAAAACUAUAUUUUGUUUGAUUAGUGCCCAUCUUCGGGUCAGUAACAAUCUGACAACACUUAUUCAACAAUCUGUAUAUGUUUUGAAAAUGACUUUGCUUAUUUCUCUUCUCCAACUAUUGAUUGAUGGAUUAGCAAAUUUUAACAGUAGGGUAAGAAUAAAAGUGGACUAAUUGAAGAUAACAUGUCUGCUUUAUGGGUGUUUUUGUAUCAUAUUAUUUUCCUGCAACAAAUAAAAUCUAUUUGAUCUCACAAAAUGAAAAAAAACUCACAGAGAAAAUUAGUGAAUGUACCGCAUUUUGUCAUCAUUUCAAC